AGAGUUUGAUUCUGGCUCAGAACGAACGCUGGCGGCAUGGAUUAGGCAUGCAAGUCGAACGGGAUCUGAGGUAUUCAAGUAGCAAUAUGAGAAUAUCUCAGUGAGAGUGGCGAAAGGGUGAGGAACACGUGAGUUACCUGCCCCUAAGUUUGGAAUAACCUUCCGAAAGGAGGGCUAAUGCCGAAUGUGGAUUACCCGUAAAGGGGACAUCUAAAGGCUUACCGCUUAGGGAUGGGCUCGCGUCCUAUCAGCUUGUUGGUGAGGUAAUGGCUUACCAAGGCAAUGACGGGUAGCUGGUCUGAGAGGAUGGUCAGCCACACUGGGACUGAGACACUGCCCAGACUCCUACGGGAGGCUGCAGUCGAGAAUCUUCCGCAAUGGGCGCAAGCCUGACGGAGCAAUGCCGCGUGAAGGAUGAAGGUCUUCGGAUUGUAAACUCCUGUUAGGGGGGACGAAGGGUUGUCGGCGAACAGCCGACAGACUUGACGGUACCCCCAGAGGAAGCCCCGGCUAACUCUGUGCCAGCCGCCGCGGUAA
This 537-nucleotide ribosomal RNA is filed under the name uncultured Lentisphaerota bacterium. RNAcentral describes it as "bacterial SSU rRNA". It matches the Rfam family "Bacterial small subunit ribosomal RNA", at positions 8 to 523 of the family's 1533-position model. Lineage: Bacteria; Pseudomonadati; Lentisphaerota. The record is from RNAcentral.